ACACGUGGGCAACCUGCCCUGAGGUGGGGGAUAGCCGUGGGAAACCGCGGGUAAUUCCGCAUACGCUCUCGGGUCGGUAGGACCGGGAGAGGAAAGGGUCGGUAAGACUCGCCUUGGGAGGGGGCUGCGGCCGAUUAGCUAGACGGUGGGGUAAGGGCCUACCGUGGCGAUGAUCGGUAGCUGGUCUGAGAGGACGGCCAGCCACACGGGGACUGAGAGACGGCCCCGACUCCUACGGGAGGCAGCAGCAAGGAAUCUUCCGCAAUGGGGGCAACCCUGACGGAGCAACGCCGCGUGGGGGAUGAGGCCCUUCGGGGUGUAAACCCCUUUUCUUCGGGACGAAGGUCUGACGGUACCGGAGGAAGAAGGACCGGCUAACUACGUGCCAGCAGCCGCGGUAAUACGUAGGGUCCGAGCGUUGUCCGGAGUUACUGGGCGUAAAGGGCGCGCAGGCGGCGGUGCUGGCCCGGCGUGAAAGCCCCCGGCUCAACCGGGGAGGGUCGUCGGGGACCGCACCGCUUGAGGGCGGUAGGGGCUGGUGGAAUGCCUGGUGUAGUGGUGAAAUGCGUAGAGAUCAGGCAGAACACCCGUGGCGAAGCGGCCAGCUGGGCCGACCCUGACGCUGAGGCGCGAAGGCGUGGGGAGCGAACGGGAUUAGAUACCCCGGUAGUCCACGCAGUAACGAUGCCGACUAGGCGUGGGGGGAGUUGACCCCCUCCGUGCCGGAGCCCAACGCGGGAAAGUCGGCCGCCUGGGGGAGUACGGCCGCAAGGGCUAAAACUCAAAGGAAAUUGACGGGGGCCCGCACAAGCGGCGGAGCGUGCGGUUUAAUUCGACGCGACGCGCAGAACCUUUACCAGGGCUUGACAUGCAACUGCAGACUCGUGAAAGCGAGUGGCCUUUCGAGGGUGUUGCACAGGUGCUGCAUGGCUGUCGUCAGCUCGUGCCGUGAGGUGUUGGGUUAAGUCCCGCAACGAGCGCAACCCUUGCCCUUAGUUGC
This 1000-nucleotide ribosomal RNA is filed under the name uncultured bacterium. Its description in RNAcentral is "bacterial SSU rRNA". It matches the Rfam family "Bacterial small subunit ribosomal RNA", at positions 113 to 1118 of the family's 1533-position model. The record is from RNAcentral.